AGAAUCAACGCUGGCGGCGUGCCUAACACAUGCAAGUCGAACGCGAAAGUCCCGCAAGGGAUAAGUAGAGUGGCAAACGGGUGAGUAACACGUGGGUGACCUGCCUUCGAGUGGGGGAUAACGUCCCGAAAGGGACGCUAAUACCGCAUAACAUCCUGCCUUUUAACAGGCGGACAUCAAAGCUGGGGAUCGCAAGACCUAGCGCUUGAAGAGGGGCCCGCGCCUGAUUAGCUAGUUGGUGGGGUAAUGGCUCACCAAGGCAACGAUCAGUA
This 272-nucleotide ribosomal RNA is filed under the name uncultured bacterium. Its description in RNAcentral is "partial small subunit ribosomal RNA". It matches the Rfam family "Bacterial small subunit ribosomal RNA", at positions 26 to 285 of the family's 1533-position model. The record is from RNAcentral.